This is a long non-coding RNA of Myotis davidii, 267 nucleotides long. RefSeq lists it as uncharacterized. The record is from RefSeq and is a predicted model, not a curated record. The transcript has 3 exons. Lineage: Eukaryota; Metazoa; Chordata; Mammalia; Chiroptera; Vespertilionidae.
CUUUGGGAAUGUCCAUCUUUCACAUUCCCCUGACCUAGUGGAGCCGGGCAAGAUCUCCCUGCUCCACUGACCCUGUCUCUCCAGACUCCAUCACUGGAAAACCGCUGGCCUCCUCCCACGGGGUCCCAGAUUAGAAAACAAGAUUACUUCUUCAUCCAGCUGUUAAUCCCCAAGUGGCUUCCCUGCCUGUCCCAAUUCAUGUCAGGACUGUCUCCUUGCUCAGAUCGUCUCACCCAGACCCCUGCUCACAGAGAUCGGAAGAGCACA